This 153-nucleotide long non-coding RNA is filed under the name Gorilla gorilla gorilla (western lowland gorilla). RNAcentral's name for it is "lncRNA (ENSGGOG00000044323.1)". The record is from RNAcentral. Lineage: Eukaryota; Metazoa; Chordata; Mammalia; Primates; Hominidae.
AUGGAAAUGUUAGGAACCAACUCAUGCCACAGAGAAGAGCUGAAGAGGAUACAGAAGAUGAAAAGGAAAUUGAGAGGCCAAGCAACUUGCCCAAGGUCAAAGAGCUGCAAAAUGAGUGACAUCUUGAAAAGAACAGAAACAGACUACAGUUAA